UACCCGGUUCAAUGGUCAUUGUGAUAUCCAAGUGGUCAACCCCACACAAUUCUCAGCGCCAAUCUCACUCACAGUCACGGCACAGAACUCAGAUCCUGGUUGGAGUCCCAACUCCUGACUCGUAAGCAAAACUUUGAAAUUUCGCAUCUCCUUUUCACUAUAUCCUCAAAGAAACUGCAAUCGAUCAAGCAAGUCUCCAGUCGUUGAAGUACGAUUAUCGUAAUUACCCAGAUCGUAUAAAUUAGAAAAUGCCUUACAGGAGAAUCAUGGAGGUAGAGCCGCCGAGUCCGUUAAGGUACAUAAUCGGCGCAGCAAUAAUGAUGAUCGGAGUGGUGUUACCCGUCGGUUACAUGAUGUUUCGUAACAAGAGGGGUCCUUCUUCUUCUUCCACUUACUCCAAACAGACGGCAAAGUUUUGAUAGAGAUUUAAAGAGAGGAUUUUUAUACAAUAGAAAUUGCGCUGUCUGGGUUAAGUUUGAAGGAGUUGCAAGAAGAAAAGGAUGAGGUGCAUUGACAGAAAAUCUAAUUCUGUUAUAUUUGUUAUUGCUGGGGAACUCUGAGUUUUAUAAAAUGGAACUGAAUGUGGUUUGAUUCUAAGUUUUUGAUCUAGUAAAUAUGCUAAUGCCAUUUCAAACUCGUCUUUGUUCGUUGGAUGAAUAUGUGUAAGAAGGACAGACACUUGAUUGAAUUUGUCUUCUUGUUCUGUUUUUAGCCUUAUCAUCUAGGGAACCUGCGUAUGAGAAUACGCUACGGGUUAUGUGUUUUUGUGGUGAAUUUCAAAUUUGCUUUGUAGAAUCUAGAAUGUCAAGUGAUGUCGCUGACACUGCAGAAUGCUUAUUGUUUGAAAUUGGUGAUCUUUUUUUUAUUUUUUUGGACUAGCGUCUUGGAUGUGCUUGGCGGCUUGGGUUAUGCUAAUUACUGAUGUGCUACAUGAUGGUUGGAUUUACUGGAGCAUAUGGUGUAACAAUGUUCUGUCGGUACGUUCACUCUGUAUGAACUUGAGCUAUGAUACCGAAGAAUUGGAAAUGAUUUGUUAGAAUGAUUAAAGUUGAUGUUUUCAUUGUGGAAGCCUAUGGAUCUGGGAAUGUAGAAAAGACUAGAGAGUGGAAAAUGCAAGUGCUUGAAAUGUAUUGCCAUUUUGCUGGCAGCUACUAUGGAACUUUUUACGAGCUACCUUUUGGAAUUGAAGUGUUUGGUAGUGCAAAAAAUGCAGGAUACACAAGGAUUGGUGAUGAGGUUUAGUGAAAACCCCCCGAGGAUGAUGUUGUUUUCAAAGUUGAUGAUUGGACUAAAAGGUUGAGAAUGGAUCGCUGGACUUGAGAAUCAUGAACACUUGCAAAGCAGGUCCUUUGUUGGAUUUAAGGGAUCAUUCGAUGCUUAUGUUAGCUCAAAUGUAGGAGUACAGAAGCCUUAAAGUUGUUUAGUGUGCUUGAUUUCAGAGUUUAAAGGUGAUGUAAUGGAAGAGAUGAUCAGAAGUUGAAGGUGAAGAAUAUGAACAAAGAAAUCUUUUACCUGAUGGUUCAUGAAUUCUUAUAUAGCUAUGAACCAUGUCAACUUGCAUGAAGAUAAGGAUAAAAAGUGGUAAAUAUUGCAUAUUUAUUUUUAGAGUUUAGGGGGUGUUUGAGAGUUGAGAGUGAGUUUUAAUUUUAUUUUAUUUUUUGGUCAAAAUUUAAAGUUUUUUUUUUCACUUCAAAUUAAUUUUUUUUAAUGUUUUUGAAUUGUUUUUAUAUAUUAUGUUAAAAAUGAAUUUUAUAUAUAUUAAUUUGAUAUUUUUUUAAUUUUAAAAAACAAUUAGUAAGCACAGUUUUAAGUGAGUUGUGGGGUUUACAAGGCUUCUUUUGAGUCGUUCUUUUCUCGAGUCCAGUGGAGCAAUAGGCUACAUGAUAUACUCGAGUUUAAAGGUUAGGUUACAUAGUAUAUCCGAGUCUAAAGAGGUGUACUUCGCACUCGAGUCCUGACACCCAAGUAAUCAUGACUGCUUCUCCGAAGGAAUAAAAACAGUUGAAUUUCUGGCCGCCAAAUGUGUUUCAAAGCAUUUGUUUCAUUUUGCUUCUCUAUUUAUUUGAUUCCCCUCAUUAAGAAUCGUCACCUUUAUUGACCGAUCAAGAAAUCACCCAACCUCUAAGAAUGUGUUCUUAUCCUUAAAUAGAGCAUUUUCCUUGGUCUUUUGCAUGAUCUUCAAUUAAUACUGUUAAUUAAGCCUGAUUAAACAAAUUGAUGAGCAAAGAAGGAUUUGCUGAGACAUGAAGGCCAAUGACCUUCCAAAAAUGAGCAAGUGCUGAUUUCUGACAAGCAGAUUAGUUGACUUGGCCAAGGGCAAAAACAAUUCAAAAGUGCCUAAAGAAAAUGAUGAAGAGGAAUAUACCAAGCAUGCAUGACUAGGCUGCCUACUGGGGGCAAAAGAGAUGGAUUAAUCAAUGAUCGGGGCCUGAAAACCAGGAGGCAAGAGCGGGCAUAAAUAGCAGUAAUGGUCCUCCAACAAGAUGAGGUCUAAAAUAGUUUAUCUGAAAUCACGACAGGGGAAGGCAAAACUGUUGAAAUCUUGAUACAAAUUAAGGAGAGACCCGCAGCCUAAAUCGGCAAUCUUGCGAGCUCAAGCAAACUAGCAGUCGAAACCCAGCGCUAUUUGAAUCUACGAUCACAGCUCGACAAAUUGAAGAGGGUGUUGAACGUUUUUGGAACGACCUUCAGAAACACAGCACGCACAAACCCAAACACCAACACAAUUGCAUGUAUGUGUCUUGAAACAGUAAGAUGUGACCCAGGCAAUUGUGUGGGCUGCUCUCUUCGGUGUUUCGACUUUCGAAAUCAUCCAGGGCACGAUUACUCAUCAACAUGCCAUCAUUGUUUUCAAGUACCUGUCAAUGUUUAAAAUUAUUGCUAGUAAUGGUCUCUCAUUUUCAAUUCUCGGAUGCCAGUAAACUAGUUAUAUCUAAUUGAACUGAGGGUUCUGUCUAUGUUUUGACUAAAAGCUGGAGUUCAGUCACAGCCUUUUGCUUUUAAAGUUUGGUGAUUAUUGAUGGUUUGAGCUCUGCAGUGCUAGAUCUUUUCUUUCAUGAGCCGUAAAUAACCGUGUUCCAUUGACAAUCUUGCUUUCUGGUUCAGGUACCAGAUAUAAUUGACAUAUGCAUAUGUUAGGGAUGCUUGACCUUCGCAUGUUUGCUAAAGGCAGUAAAAACGAGCAAGAAAUGUCUGUUUGUGGUGUAGGAAAGAUAGUCCCCCAUUAUGCUGCUCCAUUCUUGGGCAUGUAUGCAUGUCCUUUCACUCAGACAUUGAAAGCUGAGGAUGGUCGAGUUAAGUGAGUUGUCUUCAAGUAUAUUGGAGUUGGAUUGUAUAUAUUUGCGAAUACAGUUAGGCUUCCUUUUAAGUGUGAUUCUGCAUGAACUUGUUUUCUAGAUGCAUCAUUGAUCUAGCUAUUUGGAACACCUUAACUUCUUGUCUGCAUUUCGAGCAAAAGGAGAAAAAGCUCCUGCAGUGAAUUGGCAAGAAGGGUUGAUUUCAGUGGCUAUUGAGUUGCAGCCCAGCUUUCUAUUGAGAAGGGUCAAUUUGUUAGAAGUCAGGAAGUCAUGGAUGAACAUUAGUUAAGCUAUUAUGCAAGUCUUGACGUUGGCAACACCGCUGCUUCUUGUUUUACUCUCCUUUAUUGUUCUUCU
Molecule: RNA transcript, 3653 nt
Organism: Populus trichocarpa (black cottonwood)
Lineage: Eukaryota; Viridiplantae; Streptophyta; Magnoliopsida; Malpighiales; Salicaceae
Exons: 4
Source: RefSeq, a predicted model, not a curated record